Saimiri boliviensis boliviensis (Bolivian squirrel monkey) is the source of this 513-nucleotide non-coding RNA. Lineage: Eukaryota; Metazoa; Chordata; Mammalia; Primates; Cebidae. The record is from the annotation of a RefSeq genome assembly.
GGGCCCCUUUCCACUAUGAGCAACCAAGUGCUCUGCUGUGUGGUCCUUUGUCUCCUCGGAGCAAAAAUCGUGGUUGGUGGAAUCACUCAAUCCCCAAAGUAUCUGUUCAGAAAGGAAGGACAGGCUGUGACCCUAGGUUGUGAACAGAAUUUGAACCACGAUGCCAUGUACUGGUACCGACAGGACCCGGGGCAAGGGCUGAGAUUGAUCUACUACUCAUGGAUAGUAGAUGACUUUGAGAAAGGAGACAUAACUGAAGGCUACAUCGUCUCUCGGGAGAAAAAGGAGUCUUUCCCUCUCACUGUGACAUCGGCCCAAUGGAACCACACAGCUUUCUAUCUCUGUGCCAGUAGUGGUGAGAGCCACCGGUCAGAGGAGAUGGGCGAUUAUGGCUCUGGAACGAUGACAGGAAGAUUGCACAAAACAAACAGGAUUCUCCAGGAGCUGGGCGCACGGGGAGGGAGUGAGCACAGGCUGAGCUCCGCCUGACAUCCUGUCUGACUCGCGUCCCAC